This 67-nucleotide transfer RNA is filed under the name Rivularia ovum. RNAcentral's name for it is "tRNA-Asn". The record is from RNAcentral. Lineage: Eukaryota; Metazoa; Mollusca; Gastropoda; Architaenioglossa; Viviparidae.
UAAGUGAAAGCCAAAGUCUGAGGCGUCUAAUUGUUAAUUAGAGGAUUAUAAGAAUUUAUUCAUUUAG